UCAAGAAACUUCCACAAUGGGCGAAAGCCUGAUGGAGCGACGUCGCGUGAUGGACGAAGUGCUUCGGCACGUAAACAUCUUUUAUGUGGGAUGAAAUUAUUGACAGUACCACAUGAAUAAGGGGCUCCUAACUCUGUGCCAUCAGGAGCGGUAAUACAGAGGCCCCGAGCGUUAUCCGGAAUCACUGGGCGUAAAGGGUGUCGAGGCGGUUGUAUUAGUCGUUCGUAAAAUCUACGAGCUUAACUUGUAGGCGGCGAACGAAACGGUACGACUUGAGGUUUGGAGAGGUGCGUGGAACUCACGGUGUAGGGGUGAAAUCCGUUGAUAUCGUGGGGAACACCAAAGGCGAAGGCAGCGCACUGGCCAAAAUCUGACGCUCACACACGAAAGCUAGGGUAGCGAAGAGGAUUAGAUACCCAGGUAGUCCCUGAGCGGGCUGGCAAGGCGCAU
RNAcentral lists this ribosomal RNA (450 nucleotides) under uncultured bacterium. Its description in RNAcentral is "bacterial SSU rRNA". It matches the Rfam family "Bacterial small subunit ribosomal RNA", at positions 355 to 825 of the family's 1533-position model. The record is from RNAcentral.